AGUGAACGCUGGCGGUAGGCCUAACACACGCAAGUCGAACGGCAGCACAGUAAGAGCUUGCUCUUACGGGUGGCGAGUGGCGGACGGGUGAGGAAUACAUCGGAAUCUACUUUUUCGUGGGGGAUAACGUAGGGAAACUUACGCUAAUACCGCAUACGACCUACGGGUGAAAGCAGGGGAUCUUCGGACCUUGCGCGAUUGAAUGAGCCGAUGUCGGAUUAGCUAGUUGGCGGGGUAAAGGCCCACCAAGGCGACGACCCGUAGCUGGUCUGAGAGGAUGAUCAGCCACACUGGAACUGAGACACGGUCCAGACUCCUACGGGAGGCAGCAGUGGGGAAUAUUGGACAAUGGGCGCAAGCCUGAUCCAGCCAUACCGCGUGGGUGAAGAAGGCCUUCGGGUUGUAAAGCCCUUUUGUUGGGAAAGAAAAGCAGCAGGUUAAUACCCCGCUGUUCUGACGGUACCAAAAGAAUAAGCACCGGCUAACUUCGUG
RNAcentral lists this ribosomal RNA (492 nucleotides) under uncultured bacterium. RNAcentral's name for it is "partial 16S ribosomal RNA". It matches the Rfam family "Bacterial small subunit ribosomal RNA", at positions 29 to 507 of the family's 1533-position model. The record is from RNAcentral.